This 725-nucleotide long non-coding RNA is filed under the name Struthio camelus australis. Its description in RNAcentral is "lncRNA (ENSSCUG00000002799.1)". Lineage: Eukaryota; Metazoa; Chordata; Aves; Struthioniformes; Struthionidae. The record is from RNAcentral.
CUGUGAAGUGCCUGGUUCUCUGUGGCCACUGUGCCCUAUGAAUCCAGGGAUGAGGCUGGGGAUAGGAGAAGUCUGAGAUGCUUGUGUCUGCAAUGGAUAUAUAAAUCCACAUCCCAGAGCAAAUGAACAGUAGGAGGCAGACAGAAAUCUCCAUCAGCAAAAGCGCUGGGCUGCAGCAAGGGAAGAAGGAUGGAAGUUGCAACUGGAAAUAAUAAGGUACUCGAGAUAGGAGAAUAGUUUGGCUUUUCUCCUGGCAGGAUCCUGCACAAAUGGAGCAAAUUCAAGCAAGAACGUGUAAUAAAAGAGCCCAUGACACUCAGUCAGCCUGGGAUUGAGGGCUGUGCCCGUUCUGUAUCGCUGAUUGAGAAUUGCUGUGUGUCCCUCAGUUUCCUCAUCUGAAAAAUAGUGGAUGUGCUGCCAGGCUCAGCUUGAAACCCCUGUAAGAUGCAGAAAAUGUAAUUUAAGCACUCAGGUGAUUAUCAUCGGCUGUAACAAAGAAGAUCAACAGUAAAGGACGCUUGGCUUCAGCAGCCCAUGUUCUCUCAGCAAGCUCCAGAAGGAAGCCCUAUAGCCAGCAAGCCUAAAGCCAGCCUGGCCCAAAGCACCAAGGAGCCAUGGCUGGCUGUGCUGGACGCUUUGCCAUUUAAACCUCCGUAGCCUCGAAUGCCGCAGCAGGGCCAAAUGCCGAUGCAGAGCCAGACCUGCAGAACGGUGCAUGGGAGAAU